RNAcentral lists this ribosomal RNA (274 nucleotides) under uncultured bacterium. RNAcentral's name for it is "partial 16S ribosomal RNA". It matches the Rfam family "Bacterial small subunit ribosomal RNA", at positions 523 to 796 of the family's 1533-position model. The record is from RNAcentral.
AUACGGAUGGUGCGAGCGUUGUUCGGAAUUACUGGGCGUAAAGGGCGCGUAGGCGGCGAUGUAAGUCAAAUGUGAAAGUCCUCGGCUUAACCGGGGAAGUGCAUCUGAAACUGCAUUGCUUGAGUAUGAGAGAGGAAAGUGGAAUUCCCGGUGUAGAGGUGAAAUUCGUAGAGAUCGGGAGGAAUACCGGUGGCGAAGGCGACUUUCUGGACCAAUACUGACGCUGAGGCGCGAAAGCGUGGGGAGCAAACAGAAUUAGAAACCCUUGUAGUCC